RNAcentral lists this ribosomal RNA (254 nucleotides) under uncultured bacterium. RNAcentral's name for it is "partial 16S ribosomal RNA". It matches the Rfam family "Bacterial small subunit ribosomal RNA", at positions 524 to 776 of the family's 1533-position model. The record is from RNAcentral.
UACGAAGGGGGCUAGCGUUGCUCGGAUUUACUGGGCGUAAAGGGCGCGCAGGCGGCUCAUUUUGUCAGGCGUGAAAGCCCCGGGCUUAACCUGGGAACUGCGUUUGAUACGGAUGGGCUAGAGUUCGGGAGAGGAGAGUGGAAUUCCCAGUGUAGAGGUGAAAUUCGUAGAUAUUGGGAAGAACACCGGUGGCGAAGGCGGCUCUCUGGACCGAUACUGACGCUGAGGCGCGAAAAGCGUGGGGAGCAAACAGG